AUUUUGAUUGAAAAAGUUCUGGAAAUUUGCAUUAAUAUGCUUAUUCCUAAUUUAGGUAUGGGCAAAGUUUUCCGUGGCUGAAAACUUAGAAUUUCGAGGUGAAAGAACAGGACUUCUGGAGACAUCCAAGGCAUUGCUUAGGAGUAGAUUGAGUGGCAGAAUUACAGAGGAGCAUUAAUCCAGACAUUUAUGCACAUCUUUUACCCAGAGGAAACCAUCAAAUCCUGCAGAGGCACCACCAUUACUGUCUGUAUACGGAGAGUGCUGUGGCUACAGCUGCAGAACAGAACAGUCAUUCGCGUGCAGCAGUCAGUGCAACAAGGGCUUUGCUCUCAUGGACCGUCUCCCCUUCUGUAGACACUGGGCCUGCAGCAGGCAGGAAAGCCUGGCAUUGUUGUCUGUGCAGCACCACGAAACACUCCUAACUCUGAGGUGCCUUACUCUUCCUCUGCCAGAGUGGCUACAGCAAUUCCAAAGGCUGGUAACAUCCCACGCCACCCUACAGAACUGUAGUGCCAACAAUCAAUCCUGGGCCAAAGGCAGCACCAAAAAGCACGGAAAAUCCCAUAAUGAUCUAACUAGCAGCUUGCUGCCCUUUGCACUUUUGAAAAUAACUUCUGUUGAAUUUUAAAACAUUUUCUACAAAAUCAGCUUAACAGUUAAAAACACGGGACCUGAAUGGAUGGUUAGAAACUGUGAUCUAUAUUUGUACAGGUUUCUAUUCACUUUGAUGAAAUGGUAAGAGACGAGUCUCCCACCUCAGAGGAUUUACUGUGAUGUUACUGCCACGUAGCAUAGCUACCUUGUGUAUUUAAAAACCUAAAAAUGUGUAUUUUGUAUUUGUUGCCAAGUUCACAAUUUACUUAGGCUGUAAUACAGUUGCAAUUUAUUAAGGAUUGAAUCUCUGCAUUAAUUUGGUACAAUACCAUUCUAGCUCAUGUUAGAGCAAAAAAAGGAUAAUUGGUAUGUAGAUGCAAAUUUGGGUUUAAUAUCCCAUGCAGCUGUUUACGUCUGCUUAAUUAAGCAGCAGUGACUUCACAUUAGCAUUGCUAUGAAACCGUAAAUACGCACUGGAGAUAAAGGUACAAUCAUGUUAAUCACCUUCCUCAUGUCAAAUCAAUGCCAGAUGGGUACUUUUUGUUUCAGUCUGGUGUUUUAAUGGUAAAGAAAAAAGUCUUCACUUUUAAAGAGGAUCUUCAGGUUCAACACAUUUGGUUUUGAUAUAAGUACCAGGAUUUUAUAAAAAGACUGUGCUCCUGUAGACAGGCAGCUUAAGCAGUAAAUGAAGAGCUCUAAUGGAAACUCCUAACAAAUAUAAUUGGAAGUCAACUGGUUAUUUUGCUUUUGGAGCCUUUACAGGAGUAUCACAGUCCUUUUGUACAGUAAAAGAAUGUAAGUAAAUAUCCAUCUGGAAAAACGCAGGGCUGUUUUAAUACUGAUGAAGUUCUAACACUUGGACUCUGUGGCAUAAGCUCUUUGUUUCAUGUCUUUACCAGCAGUUCUGGCACAGGGCUGCUUGUUUUGCUCUCUGACUAAGGACCCCUGAAGUUCCACAGAUGUAUUUUGAGAGGUAUGUACAACCAGAACAGGCCUUGGAUUAACACAACACAUCAGUAGAACAUAAAAACUGCUCUUCGGUCAGGACUAUCAGAACUAACUGUUAACCAUCAGCAUAAGAACACAACCUCAGUUGGUGCCAUUUUUAAUGAUUAGAAAUAAUACAUUGUAAAACAAAAAGUGAAAAAAUUCCAGCGUGAUACUUAUAAACAAAGAACAAAUAGAAAACAAAAAACUUUCGGUUUUGCCUGAUUUAUAGUAUGUAUCAUACAACAGAUCAUUAGUCUGAGGUAAUACCAGUAUUAAGUCUUUAGUCCUUCAAGGACUGCUCAAAAAUUAAUAACAAUGAUAGCAAUGCAUGUUAUGUUAAAAGUGAGACUUGAUCAUUAAAUCAAGCAAACUCCUUAACCUUUUAGUUAGGGAUCUGUGGUUGCAAGUAUAAAACUGGAAAUAAUUCUACACAGUAGGAACUACAGAACAUCAGAGUCCUGUGUGCCGUGUCUGUAACAGUAAGCUGAGUAUGUAAAAAUCAGACAUUUCAAUACAGUAAAGACUUUGUUCCAGAAUAGCCCUUAAGAAAUUUAGAAUACUGUUAGUUUGCAUAAAAUAGCCAAAAAAACCCCAACUAAUUCAGAAGUCCAAAUUUGGCAUGAGGUAAAACCAUGUGCAUUUAUUUAAUCUGCAUUUUAGAUUUAGUAAGCAUAAAAUUAAGAAUGUUGACUGUAAUGAAUUCAGUCGUACAAGUGCAAAUCUUCAGCUAGAAUGUAUUUUAUGGCAGUUUAUUUAAAAAAUGUACCAGUAAAUCAUAAAAGAGGGAUCAUGUCCAUUUAACGUUUAUUGAAGUAUACAGGAGGUUUUCUUUAGAAUCAAAUAUGAGCAUGAAUAUAUGGCCAAACGUAAAAUCUAUCAAAUUCAGUGAAAAUUUUCUGACUUUAAAUAGUAGCUGUAAGAAUGACCAAUAUAUAUUCUUUGUUACAACCGCCCUCACUCUACAAGUAAAAAAAAAAUAAUAAACAUUCAGUAAACAUUCUUUCCUAA
Haemorhous mexicanus (house finch) is the source of this 2595-nucleotide long non-coding RNA. RefSeq lists it as uncharacterized. The record is from RefSeq and is a predicted model, not a curated record. The transcript has 2 exons. NCBI's taxonomy places the organism in Eukaryota, Metazoa, Chordata, Aves, Passeriformes, Fringillidae.